Molecule: ribosomal RNA, 465 nt
Filed under: uncultured Dechloromonas sp.
Lineage: Bacteria; Pseudomonadati; Pseudomonadota; Betaproteobacteria; Rhodocyclales; Azonexaceae
Description: bacterial SSU rRNA
Rfam family: Bacterial small subunit ribosomal RNA
Source: RNAcentral
CCUACGGGAGGCUGCAGUGGGGAAUUUUGGACAAUGGGCGCAAGCCUGAUCCAGCCAUGCCGCGUGAGUGAAGAAGGCCUUCGGGUUGUAAAGCUCUUUCGGCCGGGAAGAAAUCGGCGACUCUAACAUAGUCGCUGGAUGACGGUACCGGACUAAGAAGCACCGGCUAACUACGUGCCAGCAGCCGCGGUAAUACGUAGGGUGCGAGCGUUAAUCGGAAUUACUGGGCGUAAAGCGUGCGCAGGCGGUUUUGUAAGACAGAUGUGAAAUCCCCGGGCUUAACCUGGGAACUGCGUUUGUGACUGCAAGGCUAGAGUACGGCAGAGGGGGGUGGAAUUCCUGGUGUAGCAGUGAAAUGCGUAGAGAUCAGGAGGAACACCGAUGGCGAAGGCAGCCCCCUGGGCCUGUACUGACGCUCAUGCACGAAAGCGUGGGGAGCAAACAGGAUUAGAUACCCGGGUAGUC